Molecule: long non-coding RNA, 1896 nt
Organism: Rhincodon typus (whale shark)
Lineage: Eukaryota; Metazoa; Chordata; Chondrichthyes; Orectolobiformes; Rhincodontidae
Exons: 2
Source: RefSeq, a predicted model, not a curated record
UUUCGUGCUUCAACCCACCUCCCUCAUCUCCCGACCGGAACGAGUACGCCGGUGUUCGGUGAGGUCCCUUUCGUUGAGAGGGCGGGGAAGGUGGGUGGGGGCGUGCGCGCGUUCCGCGCUGGAGGGCAACCGCGCGUGCGCCGUCCCUUCAUUGUGGGGCGGGUGAGACCCGGACGAGGGCGUCUGCGCAGUGCCGGCGCUGCGCGAGGGCCGGGAAUCGCGCGUGCGCAUUCCCUUCAUUAGGGCAGGGGUCAUGCAGGACCAGCGCGCCUGCGCAGUUGCGGAACCAUCUUUUUGUCGGGCUAACGGGGUUGGGGAAGCGACGAAUGAUUGGCAAGAAGUUCCCGCCCAACCUUAGGGUCUGCGCAAGCGUCGAAAGAAGUGUGAUGCUGCAACACCUGCUGAGUUUCUCCAACUCUUUCUGUUUAUGAAUUAGAGCCCCAAGUCCUUUCCCUGGAAGCCCUGGUUUGGUGCUGGGUUGAGAUAAAGCGAAAUGGGGGAACUCAUUCGAAACACCAAAUUGGAUCCAUGCAUUGGAUUUUAAAGGAAUGGACUUGAACUCAUUUGGAACACUGGGUUGGAUUUGACUGGGGAGAGGGGAGCUAAUAGAAACACUGGCAUGGAUUGGAGGUGGUGGCUUUCUGCAAUAAUUUUUACUGCUGCAGAACAUCUGCAGAGACCAUACAGGAGCAUAGAAUGUGCAAGGGUGAAAUUAGAAUGAGGAAAGGCAAGAGAAAAUGUAUUCACAGAUAAAAUCAUGGAAAGCUCAAUAAUAUUUUCUGAAUACAUUGAGAACAACUAAGAAAAACGUAUACUUGCAAAACAAAUAUAUUUUAAUAAAAUCUGUGAUGUCUUUUGCAACCAUUUGAUUUCUCAAAGUACCCUCAGAAGUGUUGUCACUGUUGUAGGAAAUGUAUCAUAGAAUCCUCACGGUGUGGAAGCAGGCUAUUCAGCCCAUUGAGUCCACACCGAUCCUCCGAAGAGCAUCCCAACUAGACCCACCCUCUUAUCCUAUCCCUGUAACCCUGCAUUUCCCAUGGCUAAUCCACCUAGCCUGCACAUCCCUGGGUACUAUGGACAAUUUAGUGUGGCCAAUCCACCUAACCUACACGUCUUUGAACUGUGGAAGGAAACCAGCACACCCAGAGAGAAUGUACAAACUCCACACAGUCACCUGAGGGUGGAAUCAAACUUUUGUCCCUGGCACUGUGAGGUAGCAGUGCUAACCACUGUGCCACCCAUUAAAAUGUUAGCCUUGGACUGUAGGUAUCUAGCCCAGUGACUUUGCCAUUAUACCACUGUAGCAUCCAAUUUUUGCACAGCAAGCUACCGCAGCCGGCAAUGUGAUACGAUCCCAGAUCAUGUUUUUAUUGGCGUUGGUUGAGGGAUAAGUGUUGGCCCCUCAACACUGUGGCUUUGUUUUGACGUUGUUUGGGCUACAGCCUGCUGAGAGAGAAGCUAAGCAGAUUAUUAUCUGCCGUUUACUGUGAAAGCCCAUUCAGAGAGGCCAGUGUGAGAGCUGUUCUCAUGAAAAGCCUCUGAAUUCUUGAUGACUCCUGAAUGACCUGUGUCUGCAAAGGUCCCAGAUGACAAUUUCCUGUGUUUAGUGCCACCUGGCUACGUGUAAGAGGAAAGCAACUGAACGGCAUUUUGAGCCUUCCACACAAAAUGCUAUUUACCUUUUAAAGACUAACCAUUAUUAGCCAAAGUGUUUAUCUUGUCAAACUUACUCCCUGUGGAGAAACCUCUUUUUGCUCUUUAAUUGGUGUUCAUUUAUUCAAAAGGAUAAAUAUUAUUUCAUAUUCUAAACUGUGUGUUAAUCAAUUUUACGUCUUCUCUGAAUGAUUUCCUUUUUGUUUUUACAAUAAAUCAAUAAUUCUGUUGUUUAGAAAGUAA